GGUUGGCAGUAGCUUGGUUAAGGGAAUCUACCGGAGCCAUAGCGAAAGCGUGUCUUUAUAGAGUAAUUGUCACGGUUUAUGGACCCGAAACUGGGUGAUCUAUCUAUGACAAGAAUGAAGCUUGGGUGAAACUAAGUGGAGGUUUGAACCCACUGAUGUUGAAGAAUUAGGGGAUGGGUUGUGGUUAGGGAUGAAAUACCAUUCGAACCUAGAACUACUUGG
Non-coding RNA from Nicotiana sylvestris (wood tobacco), 222 nucleotides. Lineage: Eukaryota; Viridiplantae; Streptophyta; Magnoliopsida; Solanales; Solanaceae. The record is from Rfam.